This 468-nucleotide ribosomal RNA is filed under the name uncultured organism. Its description in RNAcentral is "partial 16S ribosomal RNA". It matches the Rfam family "Bacterial small subunit ribosomal RNA", at positions 333 to 797 of the family's 1533-position model. The record is from RNAcentral.
ACACUCCUACGGGAGGCAGCAGUGAGGAAUAUUGGACAAUGGGUGGAAGCCUGAUCCAGCCAUCCCGCGUGCAGGAAGACGGCCCUAUGGGUUGUAAACUGCUUUUAUCUGGGGAUAAACCUACUUACGUGUAAGUAGCUGAAGGUACCAGAAGAAUAAGCACCGGCUAACUCCGUGCCAGCAGCCGCGGUAAUACGGAGGGUGCAAGCGUUAUCCGGAUUUAUUGGGUUUAAAGGGUCCGUAGGCGGACUGAUAAGUCAGUGGUGAAAUCCGACAGCUUAACUGUCGAACUGCCAUUGAUACUGUUAGUCUUGAGUAAGGUUGAAGUGGCUGGAAUAAGUAGUGUAGCGGUGAAAUGCAUAGAUAUUACUUAGAACACCAAUUGCGAAGGCAGGUCACUAAGUCUUAACUGACGCUGAUGGACGAAAGCGUGGGGAGCGAACAGGAUUAGAAACCCUGGUAGUCCCA